RNAcentral lists this ribosomal RNA (465 nucleotides) under uncultured bacterium. RNAcentral describes it as "partial 16S ribosomal RNA". It matches the Rfam family "Bacterial small subunit ribosomal RNA", at positions 28 to 507 of the family's 1533-position model. The record is from RNAcentral.
GACGAACGCUGGCGGCGUGCUUAACACAUGCAAGUCGAACGGAAAGGCCCCCUUGUGGGGUACUCGAGUGGCGAACGGGUGAGUAACACGUGAGUAACCUACCCUUGACUUUGGGAUAACUUCAGGAAACUGGGGCUAAUACCGGAUAGGAGCUCCUGCUGCAUGGUGGGGGUUGGAAAGUUUCGGCGGUUGGGGAUGGACUCGCGGCUUAUCAGCUUGUUGGUGGGGUAGUGGCUCACCAAGGCUUUGACGGGUAGCCGGCCUGAGAGGGUGACCGGCCACAUUGGGACUGAGAUACGGCCCAGACUCCUACGGGAGGCAGUAGUGGGGAAUAUUGCACAAUGGGCGGAAGCCUGAUGCAGCAACGCCGCGUGCGGGAUGACGGCCUUCGGGUUGUAAACCGCUUUCGCCUGUGACGAAGCGUGAGUGACGGUAAUGGGUAAAGAAGCACCGGCUAACUACGUG